This 609-nucleotide long non-coding RNA is filed under the name Homo sapiens (human). RNAcentral's name for it is "HSALNT0369504". Lineage: Eukaryota; Metazoa; Chordata; Mammalia; Primates; Hominidae. The record is from RNAcentral.
GUAGAAGGAUUUAAGCAAAAUGAAACAGACAGAAAUAUUGAUCCAGACAACUGGAAUUUUCAAGUGUAUUGCAAUGAUAAUGACGACUGGAAAGGAAAGAGAGGAAGGUAACAAAGAAAAGCCAAGAAAACUAUUUGGAGUGAGAGACUAUGGUAAUAUAAAAGGCUAUAAUGUGGUAAAAUCGUGGGGACUUAAUUCCAUCAUAUGGAGGUUACUGAAUGUAUCAGAGACAGCCUGCAGUUCAUCACCACACAAAUUAGGAGCAACGUAAGAAGAGAAAAAGAAAAAGGAAUUACAGAUUAAAAAAUGCAAGAGAAUAUAAACAAAUAAAAAUAUGUUCAACUGGAAUUUGUAUUGGGAUUGUAUUAAAUGGAUGAACUAAUUUGUGAAGAAAUGAUAUCAUUCCAUCCAAGAGCAUGGAACUCCUAUUUUUCCUAUUGUCUUCUAUGUUUCUUUUUAAAAAGUCUUAAGUUUUCUCUGUAGAGUUUUUUGCAUUCUGGAUGAUUUUAAUUGAAACAUACUGUAUAGAUAUUGUUACUAUGAUAAGUGGUGCCUCUUAUUAGAUUUUUUAAUUCAUUAUGAUUGGUAAAGCAAAUAGGAAAGAUUUUG